Molecule: ribosomal RNA, 490 nt
Filed under: Staphylococcus aureus
Lineage: Bacteria; Bacillati; Bacillota; Bacilli; Caryophanales; Staphylococcaceae
Description: bacterial SSU rRNA
Rfam family: Bacterial small subunit ribosomal RNA
Source: RNAcentral
UUUAUGGAGAGUUUGAUCCUGGCUCAGGAUGAACGCUGGCGGCGUGCCUAAUACAUGCAAGUCGAGCGAACGGACGAGAAGCUUGCUUCUCUGAUGUUAGCGGCGGACGGGUGAGUAACACGUGGAUAACCUACCUAUAAGACUGGGAUAACUUCGGGAAACCGGAGCUAAUACCGGAUAAUAUUUUGAACCGCAUGGUUCAAAAGUGAAAGACGGUCUUGCUGUCACUUAUAGAUGGAUCCGCGCUGCAUUAGCUAGUUGGUAAGGUAACGGCUUACCAAGGCAACGAUGCAUAGCCGACCUGAGAGGGUGAUCGGCCACACUGGAACUGAGACACGGUCCAGACUCCUACGGGAGGCAGCAGUAGGGAAUCUUCCGCAAUGGGCGAAAGCCUGACGGAGCAACGCCGCGUGAGUGAUGAAGGUCUUCGGAUCGUAAAACUCUGUUAUUAGGGAAGAACAUAUGUGUAAGUAACUGUGCACAUCUUGAC